Small nucleolar RNA from Chrysoperla carnea, 211 nucleotides. RefSeq annotates it as small nucleolar RNA U3. The record is from RefSeq and is a predicted model, not a curated record. NCBI's taxonomy places the organism in Eukaryota, Metazoa, Arthropoda, Insecta, Neuroptera, Chrysopidae. The transcript has a single exon.
AAGAUCAUACUUCACAGGAUCAUUUCUGUAGUAUGUCUUCACAUUAUCUCUACUCAAUUGUAGAGUCAAUGUAACCACGAUGAGGAGCUGCAGUGAGGUUUUCUGAGCGUGAGGUAGGUUUCAAGUUUUCACUUGGAAAAUUGGAACCAACGAUGAUCGUUCAACCAAGUCGCUUGCGACAUGGGUAUGGAAACUUCACAUGCUGAGUGGU